GCCUGGGUGGCUUGGUCGGUUAAGCGUCCGACUUCAGCUCAGGUCAUGAUCUCACAGUCCGUGGGUUCGAGCCCCACGUCGGGCU
This 85-nucleotide transfer RNA is filed under the name Felis catus (domestic cat). It matches the Rfam family "tRNA". Rfam says of the family: Transfer RNA (tRNA) molecules are approximately 80 nucleotides in length. Their secondary structure includes four short double-helical elements and three loops (D, anti-codon, and T loops). The record is from Rfam by way of RNAcentral. Lineage: Eukaryota; Metazoa; Chordata; Mammalia; Carnivora; Felidae.